Molecule: long non-coding RNA, 524 nt
Organism: Thalassophryne amazonica
Lineage: Eukaryota; Metazoa; Chordata; Actinopteri; Batrachoidiformes; Batrachoididae
Exons: 2
Source: RefSeq, a predicted model, not a curated record
AGGUGAAAAAAAUUGUGAUGUAAAGUCAACUGAAAGUAAAUGGCUCAAUUUUAUUAACAGUAGAAACAAUGCAGGUAGCUGAAUAUAUAUUGCAUGAAACAUUCACAAAACAUUAAAAAAAUUUAAAAUAAAUAAAAUGCUUUCUUUACAAAAACAGAGAAAGAACACGGAUGGGGUGAGACAUAAAAAAAAAGUACCUACGUACCUAGCAUUCACAGUCCCCUAAUUAAAUUUGAUAAAACAAGUGGCGUUUUUUUGUUGUUGUUUGUUUUAGACAGAAUAGUUCCAGAGAUGCAAAGCAGUCCUUCUUUGCUACACAUCUAUAAAAACAAAAUGUGCAAAGUAAAAGAAAAUAUGUAGAUAACCAUCUUUUUGUUUUAUUCAGUGCGCUUACGUAGUCAAAACUGGCACUCGGAGGCAUUGGGGGGGGGGAAGAAAACACUGUACAGUAUAGAGAAAAAGAAAAAGAAAGCUCUGGUACCUAAAGUCACUGUUGUAAGAGUAUCUAAGCAGGAACACACUUU